UACGAAGGGGGCUAGCGUUGCUCGGAAUCACUGGGCGUAAAGGGUGCGUAGGCGGGUUCUUAAGUCAGAGGUGAAAUCCUGGAGCUCAACUCCAGAACUGCCUUUGAUACUGAGAGUCUUGAGUUCGGGAGAGGAGCGUGGAAUUCCCAGUGUAGAGGUGAAAUUCGUAGAUAUUGGGAAGAACACCGGUGGCGAAGGCGGCGCUCUGGACCGAGACUGACGCUGAGGCGCGAAAGCGUGGGGAGCAAACAGG
This 253-nucleotide ribosomal RNA is filed under the name uncultured bacterium. RNAcentral's name for it is "partial 16S ribosomal RNA". It matches the Rfam family "Bacterial small subunit ribosomal RNA", at positions 524 to 776 of the family's 1533-position model. The record is from RNAcentral.